CGAGACGCAGCUAACGCAUUAAGUUCCCCGCCUGGGGGAGUACGGCCGCAAGGCUAAAACUCAAAGGAAUUGACGGGGACCCGCACAAGCGGCGGAGCAUGCGGAUUAAUUCGAUGCAACGCGAAGAACCUUACCAAGGCUUGACAUAUACGAGAACGGGCUAGAAAUAGUCAACUCUUUGGACACUCGUAAACAGGUGGUGCAUGGUUGUCGUCAGCUCGUGUCGUGAGAUGUUGGGUUAAGUCCCGCAACGAGCGCAACCCUCGUUCUAUGUUGCCAGCACGUAAUGGUGGGAACUCAUGGGAUACUGCCGGGGUCAACUCGGAGGAAGGUGGGGAUGACGUCAAAUCAUCAUGCCCCUUAUGUCUUGGGCUUCACGCAUGCUACAAUGGCCGGUACAAAGGGCUGCAAUACCGUAAGGUGGAGCGAAUCCCAAAAAGCCGGUCCCAGUUCGGAUUGAGGUCUGCAACUCGACCUCAUGAAGUCGGAGUCGCUAGUAAUCGCAGAUCAGCAACGCUGCGGUGAAUACGUUCCCGGGUCUUGUACACACCGCCCGUCAAGUCAUGAAAGUCGGUAACAC
This 580-nucleotide ribosomal RNA is filed under the name Microbacterium sp. RNAcentral's name for it is "bacterial SSU rRNA". It matches the Rfam family "Bacterial small subunit ribosomal RNA", at positions 842 to 1420 of the family's 1533-position model. The record is from RNAcentral. Lineage: Bacteria; Bacillati; Actinomycetota; Actinomycetes; Micrococcales; Microbacteriaceae.